This 248-nucleotide long non-coding RNA is filed under the name Mytilus galloprovincialis (Mediterranean mussel). The record is from RNAcentral. Lineage: Eukaryota; Metazoa; Mollusca; Bivalvia; Mytilida; Mytilidae.
CUUCCCUUUGUCAAUCGUAGACUGGUUCCAUACCGGACAAAAUUGGCUUUAGCCAAUGUAAAGCAUGAUGAAUUGAAAGUGAUGUAUCGGCGGUUUAACUCAUUUUUCACGAAAAAUAAUUUCUGAUGUCAAAAGUAUUUAGUUGAAUAACAAAUUAAUGUUAUUAAAAGAUUUGAAAACCUUAUAAAUUACUCACAUUACGCACAGGUAGAUUUGCUCUUUCUGCUAGCUCUUCAUUGUUAAUAAAA